This is a non-coding RNA of Camellia sinensis, 318 nucleotides long. The record is from RefSeq and is a predicted model, not a curated record. Lineage: Eukaryota; Viridiplantae; Streptophyta; Magnoliopsida; Ericales; Theaceae.
AAAAUAAAUAUCUAGAGGAAAGGGGGGAGCCACGUGAGAGAGGGAGAGAUAGAGGACUCAAGGAGAAGAAGGAAGGAAGAGCUUGAGAAUGAAGAGGAAAGAUGGGAAAAUUGAUGGAAUUACUUCAAGAGAUUGGCUCUAGGUCGAGACGAGAACAUCGUCCUAUUACCACCGGGAACUGAUCACUGCACUCCACCUGGAGGUCAGUUUUAACCCAUGGCAUCCGUGCCUCUUUUGUCAACCUCAGAGUAUCCAGGCACUUAAGUGAAGGGAGCCUUUUUGCUAAACUUUUGAUUUUACACUCUGAUUGUUUGCUUA